AUUGAACGCUGGCGGAAUGCUUUACACAUGCAAGUCGAACGGCAGCACGGGGCAACCUGGUGGCGAGUGGCGAACGGGUGAGUAAUAUAUCGGAACGUGCCCAAUCGUGGGGGAUAACGUAGCGAAAGUUACGCUAAUACCGCAUACGAUCUACGGAUGAAAGCGGGGGAUCGCAAGACCUCGCGCGAAUGGAGCGGCCGAUAUCAGAUUAGGUAGUUGGUGGGGUAAAGGCUCACCAAGCCAACGAUCUGUAGCUGGUCUGAGAGGACGACCAGCCACACUGGAACUGAGACACGGUCCAGACUCCUACGGGAGGCAGCAGUGGGGAAUUUUGGACAAUGGGCGCAAGCCUGAUCCAGCCAUUCCGCGUGCAGGAUGAAGGCCUUCGGGUUGUAAACUGCUUUUGUACGGAACGAAACGGUACUGCCCUAAUACGGCAGGCUAAUGACGGUACCGUAACGAAUAAGCACCGGCUAACUACGUGCCAGCAGCCGCGGU
This 498-nucleotide ribosomal RNA is filed under the name uncultured bacterium. Its description in RNAcentral is "bacterial SSU rRNA". It matches the Rfam family "Bacterial small subunit ribosomal RNA", at positions 30 to 521 of the family's 1533-position model. The record is from RNAcentral.